This 1896-nucleotide long non-coding RNA is filed under the name Sus scrofa (pig). Lineage: Eukaryota; Metazoa; Chordata; Mammalia; Artiodactyla; Suidae. The record is from RNAcentral.
CCCAUGAAAGGAUCAGCCUCCUAAGACCAAGAUCAGCAAUCAUACUCUUCUUUUUCUUCACUCCAGCCAUCUGCUAACAAGAAAAGAAAGGCAAAUAUCUUGGGAAUAAGAACCCAGUUGGGAUAAAUAUUCCAGGAUGCUUUGAAUGUCAAGGCCUGCCUUCCAAGUUUACCUUGCUUCCUGUGAGCCUUGAAAAACCGAAAAUAAGCUUUGGAAGAGAUGCCAAGUAGAAGUUUGCAUGGGGAGAAGAUACUAGUGAGAACGAAGCAUAUAAAACUGGGCCCAGGACUAUGAUAGGAAGAAGUCAAAUUAAAGAGAAGGUACAGAGUAGGAAAUGUAUUAGUAACGUGUGAAAGCAUUUGGAGCCUGCAGCCAAGAAGAGGGAGAGAGAGGGAAAGAAGGGGAAGAAAAGCAAAGAGCUCAGAAGAGGGACUUUUCUUCUAUUGCCAGUUUCUUCUGUACUUUUGCCCAGAUCAAUAGAGGAAGUCAAAAGAAAAACAAAAAUGAAAACAUGCAAAUGGCAACUUUAGGUGGUAACAUUUCAUUCAGCUUCUCUGCCUUCUCUGGACUAGUGGAUGGAGUGGAAAUUUAUGGGCUCCCAGUUCCUAUCAUGAGCAGCUGGAGAUCUCAACUUCAUCUUGGAGCCCUACCUCACAAAAGCAUUUCAAGUUCUCAAGGCGUGUCCCAUGGCUGGAAUGAUGUGCUUCACAGAGAAAGGUUAAGGAAACAAACAUUCACCUUCAGUGUUGGAAUCUACGGAAGCAAAUACCAACUAAAACAUGACCAAAAGUCAAUUGAAGGAGAAACAGAACAGAUUGGAAUUCCUUGUGGCCCCCCUCCUGGUUUCUUUGAGGCCCCAGGUUUUGGCUUAAAUCUUUUAAAUAAUUCUUUACAGCUAACAUUGAUUUGGUGUCAAAACCUUACAUAUUCAAGAAACACUGUGAAUGCUAUUAAAGCCAGAAAAUGAUGAUUCAAAGCAGUUUGGAAAUUAUUUGAGCAUACAGAGUUCCCACCAGGGAUCAGAUCCGAGCUGCAGUUGUGACCUACACAGGACCGGAUCCUUAACCCACCGUGGGGGGGGUAUCAAACCUGUGUUCUAGUGCUGCAAAGUCACCGCCAAUCCUGUUGCACAACAGUGGGAACUCCAAGAAGCUGUACAUUCCUCCUCUGCCUCUGAGGCCAUGUAGCCUGCAUGAUCUAGAUGCUGCCAAUCAAAGAUGGUAGUGUCUUCAUUGACCUCAGUAGUUGCAUGAGAUGCAGGCUGCCUGGCCACCCCCCCCCCAACACUUUGGAGGCAUAAUAUGAGCAAGAAAUAUAUAUAUAUAUUUGUUGUUUUAAACCAUAAGUAUUAAUUUCUUCAUUUACUACCAUGUCACCUAUCUUAUCCUGAUAAUAAAGUUGCUUAGGCAAGAACUCACCAAAAAAGAGUCUUUGAGUCCCUGUCUAAAUGAGGUGAGGGUGUAAACAGAUUUUUCAUCUUCAGAUGUCAGCUUAAAACUGAUCCUUCUUCAAUAUUUGCAUAAUGCCACAAGAUCUUAAAGCUCCACAAAUACAGGGGCUGAAUUUGUUUUGUUUUGCUUUGUUUUAUUGAAUUUCCAGCAUAGUAGCAAUUUAAUACAUUUUUGAAAAAUGAAAUGAUGAAUAAACAAAUAAUAUCAAUGAAUGAAUGAAUCACACAAGAAAUUGCUGGGACACAAAGAAAGGUAACCAUGACUGUUGAACUAAGCGUUUUAUCUCCUUCUGGUCUCUCUUACUGUUUUUUAUCUUGUUCUUCAAAUAAAACUGAUAAUAGAUAUUUAGGUGGACUCUCCUGAUUGACAGUGAUGUUAAUUAUAAGAAACAUUUGACCAUAAGGGAAAGAGGAGUUAUAUUGGAACUGAGGGGCUGCUAAAUAUG